GAUGAAGAACGCAGCGAAAUGCGAUACUUGGUGUGAAUUGCAGAAUCCCGUGAACCAUCGAGUCUUUGAACGCAAGUUGCGCCCGAAGCCACUAGGCCGAGGGCACGCCUGCCUGGGCGUCACACGCCGUUGCCCCCCCAUCUACUCCUUCGGGAUUGCGGGGGGGCGGAUGAUGGCCUCCUGUGCGCCUAGCCGCGCGGUUGGCAUAAAUACUAAGUCCUCGGCGACGCACGCCACGACAAUCGGUGGUUGCGAAACCUCGGUUGCCCGUCGUGUGCGUUCGUCGCGCAUCGAGGGCUCGAAAAAAUGCUCGGCUCCGGCUGGGCUUUCAACGCGACCCCAGGUCAGGCGGGGUUACCCGCUGAAUUUAAGCAUAUCAAUAAGCGGAGGA
RNAcentral lists this unclassified non-coding RNA (391 nucleotides) under soil metagenome. RNAcentral describes it as "partial contains 5.8S ribosomal RNA, internal transcribed spacer 2, and large subunit ribosomal RNA". The stretch from base 1 to 122 matches the Rfam family "5.8S ribosomal RNA", at positions 35 to 154 of the family's 154-position model. The record is from RNAcentral.